Molecule: long non-coding RNA, 512 nt
Filed under: Mytilus galloprovincialis (Mediterranean mussel)
Lineage: Eukaryota; Metazoa; Mollusca; Bivalvia; Mytilida; Mytilidae
Source: RNAcentral
CCUGUAGGGGUAAAUUCAGUAAAUAAAUAUACGUCAUCAGGGACCGCCCAUUUAGGGGAGAGCUUUCUGUAUAACACUGAAGUCAUAUGCUCUUCUGAUUGGUAGAUAAUGUUUGUAAUAAAUAUUUUUUGGCAGAUGGAUCAAAACUAGAGUUGAAAAAAAAAUAAAAAAUAAAUGCUGAAUGUACUAAUUUUUUUUACUACAGGGUUGAAAAGUAAUGGGGGUCAGUAUAGGAAUUCAGUGCGAAUCUUCAUUGUUUGUAAACAAGGCCAUGUGAAUGCCCCAAAAAUGCCGCAUGACCCUAUGUUUUUUAUUAAUGCAAAAGAUAGGGCUACAUUUGUACUUUCAUGAAUGUUAUAUGAAAGUUUCCAAUUUCUAAAGGUAAAUCAGGUAUAAAUUUAAUUCCAUACAUAGAUUAGCCAUUAAAGUCAAUGGGAGAUUUUUUACUGAAUUUACCCCUAUAGGAAAAUAUGCACUCUUUCACUGUACUUGUCCAAGGCCACACAAUAAUC